This 648-nucleotide ribosomal RNA is filed under the name Pseudomonas sp. Its description in RNAcentral is "bacterial SSU rRNA". Lineage: Bacteria; Pseudomonadati; Pseudomonadota; Gammaproteobacteria; Pseudomonadales; Pseudomonadaceae. The record is from RNAcentral.
CGAGCGGAUGAGAGGAGCUUGCUCCUUAAUUCAGCGGCGGACGGGUGAGUAAUGCCUAGGAAUCUGCCUGGUAGUGGGGGACAACGUUUCGAAAGGAACGCUAAUACCGCAUACGUCCUACGGGAGAAAGCAGGGGACCYUCGGGCCUUGCGCUAUCAGAUGAGCCUAGGUCGGAUUAGCUAGUUGGUGAGGUAAUGGCUCACCAAGGCGACGAUCCGUAACUGGUCUGAGAGGAUGAUCAGUCACACUGGAACUGAGACACGGUCCAGACUCCUACGGGAGGCAGCAGUGGGGAAUAUUGGACAAUGGGCGAAAGCCUGAUCCAGCCAUGCCGCGUGUGUGAAGAAGGUCUUCGGAUUGUAAAGCACUUUAAGUUGGGAGGAAGGGCAGUAAAUUAAUACUUUGCUGUUUUGACGUUACCGACAGAAUAAGCACCGGCUAACUCUGUGCCAGCAGCCGCGGUAAUACAGAGGGUGCAAGCGUUAAUCGGAAUUACUGGGCGUAAAGCGCGCGUAGGUGGUUCGUUAAGUUGGAUGUGAAAUCCCCGGGCUCAACCUGGGAACUGCAUUCAAAACUGUCGAGCUAGAGUAUGGUAGAGGGUGGUGGAAUUUCCUGUGUAGCGGUGAAAUGCGUAGAUAUAGGAAGGAA